CACAAUACAAAAUACAUAUUUCUAAAAGACCACCAAGAACAUGGCCCACAACUGACAAAUACAUACAAGUAAAAAGAAAAAAGUCUUCUCCACAGGUACAAGCCUUCGUCGACCAAUUGAUCUCCCCCAACAGGCAGUCCGUUAACCUGCAACUUCUACUCUACAGUGGUGGAAAAAUGAGGAAUGAGCUAUAAAGCCUAGUAAGAGAGUCUAGAAGUUGUGUACCUAUAAUAUAUUUAUUUGGCAUUAUAAAUAAUUAUUUUAUCUAUAAGCAAUCACAAUGGGAAAAGCAUCAUGUUAGUCAUCACAUGAUAUCACAUGAUAGUCAUGGUAGUCAUGGUAUAACAUUCAUACUAACACAUGAAUAAUUCAUGGUAUUGAUUGAAUAACAUUCUCAUCCAUCACUUGUAUAUCACCUAACAUUCAAUAAAUAGCAUUCUCACUCAUUACUCUAAUAUCACAUAGCAUUCAAUAAAUAGCAUUCUCACUCAUUACUCUGAUAUCACAUAGCAUUCAAUAAAUAGCAUUCUCACUCAUUACUUUAAUAUGCACAACUUCUGGAAAUUUCUUCCCAUAGUGAUGUGUUUUCACAUUUAGCCGUGUAACUUUCAAUUUAGGAAGAAUUUCAAUAAGUAUUCAACAUGUGAUUACAAGCUCCCCCACAAAUCUUUAAAAUGACUGUGGUUCGGAAGAAAAUAAGCAUCAUUUGGUCAUUUAAAAUGCAUGACCACAGAAACAUCAACUCUGCAAUUUAUUAUAGCUGUCCACUAUGACCUAUCUACACAAUUGAGAAUAUAGCUUCUUUUUCAUGAAAAAUUUGGACAUGGUUUUAACAUGAACAUUAUAGUGGAUACAUAAACCGUUCAAAUGGCGGUGGUUUGAAUGAAUUUUAACACUGGUUGGUCAUUCAAAAGUUUGGUGCAAGGUGGACGGUGACUGGAAAUCUGUUGUCUGUGAAAUAGUGACAUAUACUUACUUUUUAAAGUAUAAAUCUCAACAUGUGCAAAAUCUCACGAUUUUCUAAAAAUAAAAGUGUUAUUAGACACACAUAGCUUUCAUUCAAGACUAAUUUGAGUUCAUUUGGACCCCGUUUGGUCACUGAACCAUUUUUCACAAAAACAGCUAUAGCUCUUGAAAUUUUCAUUUUUGCCCUUUUCUUUAUUAAACUGUUCAUAUAGGCAUAAGCACAAACCAUUCACAGUCAUGACUUUCAACUCACAGUUGCUAAACAAUCACCAUACACUCUAUUUAUACUAAAAUUCAUAAGAAUAUUGCCAAGCAUCAUCAUUGUUCAUAAAGAUUACACACGCAUGGUUUCUAAUAUACAACUUCAAGGAUUCCAAAUUCAAUCUUACACAUACAUACAUCCAAACACUAUGCAUAAAACAUUCAUGAUGCACACUUCUAAAUCCCCUUACCAUAGGUGCACACAACCGUACAUUCCUUCUACCACAAAAGCUCUUCCACUGCCACACCCUGCUGCUACCACUUGUGAGGUAAGAGAACCUUCUCAAGCCCUUCACUUGUCUUGCC
RNAcentral lists this long non-coding RNA (1533 nucleotides) under Amborella trichopoda. RNAcentral describes it as "long non-coding RNA (ATRI_LNC001070)". The record is from RNAcentral. Lineage: Eukaryota; Viridiplantae; Streptophyta; Magnoliopsida; Amborellales; Amborellaceae.